GUGUUGGGUAUUAGAGUAUAAUGCCGUUAGGUGUCAGUUGGCUGCAGGGAACCAUUGCAGACAACUGAUCACUGGGAACAUGUAGGCCAUGGCAUCUGACUGUGAGCCUGCUAGGAAAGGAUCGCCCUGUUUUGAAUCACCCUCGUCCAUCAAAGGGGCUUCAUUUGAGGUGGCCUCAGGAAAUCAGCCUGUAAUCUGGGAUCACUGACUUGCUGCUGAAAAAUCCAGAUGGAAAGAAAGGCAGGGUUUUCCUGCUGGCUUCAGUCUGGAGAUCUGACUCCAGCUUCUGCUGGGCACGAGGCGGGCGUGGUGGAAGGAGCAGUUUUUGCAGAGUUUGGCCACAGGAGACAUGAUUCCAGCAGUGACAAUGAAGACACUCCAGGCAGAUGUGCACACUGGAGAGAGGGCGCCAUGAAGAGGCUUCCCAGGGGCAACCCAGCCAGGCCUGCUGCUUCAGAGAUGAAGAAGGAAGAGGGGGAUGAAAUCGGAAAAGAAGGAAAUAUGUGUAAUAUGUAAAAUGUUAAGCGAUUAUGCCUGUGGCCUCUGA
Molecule: non-coding RNA, 547 nt
Organism: Macaca mulatta (Rhesus monkey)
Lineage: Eukaryota; Metazoa; Chordata; Mammalia; Primates; Cercopithecidae
Source: RefSeq, a predicted model, not a curated record